This 1316-nucleotide long non-coding RNA is filed under the name Mus musculus (house mouse). Its description in RNAcentral is "RIKEN cDNA B930036N10 gene (ENSMUSG00000091993.3)". The stretch from base 949 to 1064 matches the Rfam family "U5 spliceosomal RNA". The record is from RNAcentral. Lineage: Eukaryota; Metazoa; Chordata; Mammalia; Rodentia; Muridae.
GACGUGACAAGCUGGAUGUCCAUAGGGCGGCCAUCCAAAGGGACGCCCUUGUACUGCUUCAUAGCCUUCAGGGCAUCUGCCCUCCGUUCAAAGUGUACAUCCGCCGUCCCUAAACUUCGUCCAGAGCGAUCGUAGUCCACAGCGGCUUUUUUCAACGUUCCAAAUUCAGCAAAGAGUUCCUGAAUGUCAGCAUCUGACACCCCGAAGUCCAGGUUUGACACGAGCAGCUUGGCACCGGUCUCCACGCCUUCCCCACCCCCGCAGCCGCUGUCGAAUAGGUCGUGCUGCCACUUGUCCGGAAGUGGUUUCGGUCUACUGUACGGUGCCGGCCGGUUCCUGCCGCCGCGGGCGAUGGCGGGCCGGUUCCUCCUAGGCCCGCCGCCUCGAUUCACCCGGCGCUGGUUACGGUUCAGCUUAAUGAUGUCGUCCAAAGACAUGUCCAUCUUGUCGGCCAUGGCGGGCGCGGAUCCGGGCCUGACUGGCCCGGCCCUCGCGGUGCAGACCAGAAAGUACUCAAAUUCAAUGAUUCCCCCGCCUUGACUCCGCCUCUCCGACCGGUGCUGGAAUCACAAGCGCACCAAAAUCACACUUGGAAAUUGGAAGUCUGUGCGCUUGUGAAUCUGGCUUUCGCUCUGACCCCUGGUGGCCGCCCAGCGCCUAGAGACAUCUGGGACAAAUUCGAGGCACUUCCGGAAACCGAGCGGGCCACGCGGCUUCUCCGCGAUAUUUGCAUACCCACAAUGCAGUGCACACAGAUGGUUGUAUAAUUUAAAAGGGUAGCGUGUUGUUUUCGUUGUUCUGUUUUAUUCCUUUUAUUCCUUAAUGUGAUAGAACCUUCAAAGAUUUAUCUGAUAUAAUAAAGUAGUCAGUGUCUUUAGGAGUAAAUAGUCACCAUUAGUUGUCUAGGAAAUACAGUCGGCCGAGAACUGUACACUAGGACAGCUGGGUAUACUCUGGUUUCUCUUCAGAUCGUAUAAAUCUUUCGCCUUUUACUAAAGAUUUCCGUGGAGAGGAACAAUUCUGAGUCUUACACUAAUUUUUUGAGGCCUUGCUUUAGCAAGGCUAUUAAUAAUGUUUAAAGUUAGAAUUAACAGUCUUUAUUGUGUGCUCUAUGUAUUUUUUUGUCUUCAGUGUUAACCAAAGUUAGAAUUAACAGUCUUUAUUGUGUGCUCUAUGUAUUUUCUUGUCUUCAGUGUUAACCACUGUAAGGUAAAAAUGGCUUGAGCUUAGGCUAAAGAGACAGCUCAUUGGUUAAAAGGGCUCAGUCGCAUGGCGUUGUGUCUCAUAACCGAUAAAGUAAAUAAGCCUUUAAAAGC